GAUGAACGCUAGCGGCAGGCUUAAUACAUGCAAGUCGUGGGGCAGCAGGUUUGUAGCAAUACAGAUGCUGGCGACCGGCAAACGGGUGCGGAACACGUACAGAACCUUCCUUUGAGCGGGGAAUAGCCCAGAGAAAUUUGGAUUAAUACCCCAUAGUAUAAUGAAGUGGCAUCACUUUAUUAUUAAAGAUUUAUCACUCGAAGAUGGCUGUGCGGCUGAUUAGGUAGUUGGCGGGGUAACGGCCCACCAAGGCUUCGAUCGAUAGGGGGUGUGAGAGCAUGACCCCCCACACGGGUACUGAGACACGGACCCGACUCCUACGGGAGGCAGCAGUAAGGAAUAUUGGACAAUGGGCGGAAGCCUGAUCCAGCCAUGCCGCGUGAAGGACGAAGGCGCUCAGCGUUGUAAACUUCUUUUGGAUGGGAACAAUAACUCCGACUUGUCGGAACUUGAGGGUACCAUCAGAAUAAGCACCGGCUAAACUCCGUGCCAGCAGCCGACGG
RNAcentral lists this ribosomal RNA (503 nucleotides) under uncultured bacterium. Its description in RNAcentral is "bacterial SSU rRNA". It matches the Rfam family "Bacterial small subunit ribosomal RNA", at positions 28 to 520 of the family's 1533-position model. The record is from RNAcentral.